Molecule: ribosomal RNA, 1347 nt
Filed under: Mugil trichodon (fantail mullet)
Lineage: Eukaryota; Metazoa; Chordata; Actinopteri; Mugiliformes; Mugilidae
Description: partial 16S ribosomal RNA
Rfam family: Bacterial large subunit ribosomal RNA
Source: RNAcentral
AUGAACAACCCAGUAAAGCUAAAAAAGCAGAGCCUCCCCCUCGUACCUUUUGCAUCAUGAUUUAGCAAGUAACAGUCAAGCAAAAAGCAUUUUAGUUUGACCCCCCGAAACCCAAGUGAGCUACUCCAAGACAACCCUAAACCUAGGGUAAACCCGUCUCUGUGGCAAAAGAGUGGGAAGAGCUUCGAGUAGGGGUGACAGACCUAUCGAACUUGGUAAUAGCUGGUUGCUUGAGAAAUGAAUAGAAGUUCUGCUUCUUAAAUUCUUCCCCCUUUUGGUUACACAGCCCUACCACAGACAAAAGAAAAUUAAGAAAGUUAAUCAAAUGGGGUACAGCCCCUUUGAAACAAGAUACAACUUUUUCAGGAGGAUAAAGAUCAUACUUCAUCAAGGUACCUAUGUCUUGGUGGGCCUAAAAGCAGCCAUCCACUCAGAAAGCGUUAAAGCUCUAACAUUACUACCUCCCUAAUACUGAUAACAAAUCUUAACCCCCUAACCAUAUCAAGCCAUUCCAUAAAAACAUGGAAGUGAUUAUGCUAAAAUGAGUAACAAGAGAGCUCGCCUCUCUCCCCGCACACGUGUAAAUCGGAACGGACCCCCCACCGAAACUUAACGGGCCCAAACCAAGAGGGCAUUGGAUGGUUUAUACUAUACUAGAAAACUACCCAUAACUUUGCCGUUAACCCCACACUGGUGUGCUCUUAAAGGAAAGGUUCAAAGGAAAAGAAGGAACUCGGCAAACACACUCUAAGCCUCGCCUGUUUACCAAAAACAUCGCCUCUUGUUUACUUCACAUAAGAGGUCCCGCCUGCCCUGUGACCCCUGGUUUAACGGCCGCGGUAUUUUGACCGUGCAAAGGUAGCGCAAUCACUUGCCCCUUAAAUGAGGGCCCGUAUGAAUGGCACAACGAGGGCUUAACUGUCUCCUUUUCCCAACCAAUGAAAUUGAUCUUCCCGUGCAGAAGCGGGAAUACCAACAUAAGACGAGAAGACCCUAUGGAGCUUUAGACACCAGAACAGACCAUGUUGACUACCCCCUAAAAUAGGUAAUAAUUAUUGAACCCUGUUCCCCGUCUUUGGUUGGGGCGACCACGGGGAACAAGAAAACCCCCACGUGGACUGAGAGCACACCACUCCUACAACUACGAGCCACAGCUCUAAACUACAGAAUUUCUGACCAAAAAGAUCCGGCAAUGCCGAUCAACGGACCCAGUUACCCUAGGGAUAACAGCGCAAUCCUCUUUAAGAGUCCAUAUCGACAAGAGGGUUUACGACCUCGAUGUUGGAUCAAGACAUCCUAAUGGUGCAACCGCUAUUAAGGGUUCGUUUGUUCAACGAUUAAAGUCUU